Molecule: long non-coding RNA, 488 nt
Filed under: Daucus carota (carrot)
Lineage: Eukaryota; Viridiplantae; Streptophyta; Magnoliopsida; Apiales; Apiaceae
Description: long non-coding RNA (DCAR_LNC003342)
Source: RNAcentral
CCACAAAUAACUUAACCUAUAAGGUCAUCUUUAAUUUUUAAAAAAUUAAUUAUUCAUAAUGAACAACUAUUUUUAUUUUUCUCUAUUUAAUCAAAAUUAAUCUAGAAGUGUUUGUGUACUUUGACACUCAUAUAAAAUAGGGGGUUUAUAAAGCAAAAAAAUUGCUAGUUGUUUGCAUCAACACUUAAUUAAUCUAAUUGGACAUUAUUAAAGGUUUUAUUCUAAAAAGAUAUAACUAAGUACAAACUUUUUUGCCACUAGGCCCAACCCAUCAUGCGAGGAACUUAUAAUUACCUAGAACACAUUAGUAUCCGGUUUGAGCAUAGUAAAACCCUAAUCUAAGUAGCAGCCCGCCUCUCCACAUCCCCCCCCUAAUCUAAGUAGCAGCCCGCCUCUCCACAUCCCUUCCCAUCAUCUUGGUUCCAUCUCACCCUAUUCUAGGUAUCACUGAGUCCUCUCCAGAUCUCUUUGUUGAGCCCUCUCUGGUG